GGAGCCGUAGCGAAAGCGAGUUUUAACUGAGCGUUCAGUUACUUGACGUAGACCCGAAACCGGGCGACCUACCCAUGAGCAGGAUGAAGCGAAAGUAAAAUUUCGUGGAGGUCCGAACCCACGAGCGUUGAAAAGCUCGGGGAUGACUUGUGGGUAGCGGUGAAAUUCCAAUCGAGCCCGGAGAUAGCUGGUUCUCCCCGAAAUAGCUUUAGGGCUAGCCUCAAGGUGAGAGAUACGGAGGUAGAGCACUGAAUGUCCUAGGGGGUAUUGCACCUACCGAAGACUAUCAAACUCCGAAUGCCGUCAUCUUAUACUUGGGAGUCAGACUGUGGGUGAUAAGAUUCAUAGUCGAAAGGGCAACAGCCCAGAUCGUCAGCUAAGGUCCCUAAAUGUAAGUUAAGUGGUAAAGGAUGUGGGAUUGCACAGACAACCAGGAUGUUGGCUUAGAAGCAGCCACUCAUUCAAAGAGUGCGUAAUAGCUCACUGGUCGAGUGAUCCUGCGCCGAAGAUUUCCGGGGCUAAAACUUACUACCGAAGCUACGGCAUCAGUAAUGAUGGGUAGGGGAGCUUCCCAUACGGGUUGAAGCAUGACCGUAAGGACAUGUGGACAGUAUGGGAGUGAGAAUGUUGGCAUGAGUAGCGAGAUGUGGGUGAGAAUCCCACAGGCCGUAAACCCAAGGUUUCCAGGGGAAGGUUCGUCCGCCCUGGGUUAGUCGGGACCUAAGCUGAGGCCGAAAGGCGUAGGUGAUGGACAACAGGUUGAUAUUCCUGUACUACCGAUAACCGUUUGAGAGAAGGGAUGACACAGUAGGAUAAGCUAAGCACACUG
This 829-nucleotide ribosomal RNA is filed under the name Clostridioides difficile. RNAcentral describes it as "bacterial LSU rRNA". It matches the Rfam family "Bacterial large subunit ribosomal RNA", at positions 662 to 1497 of the family's 2925-position model. The record is from RNAcentral. Lineage: Bacteria; Bacillati; Bacillota; Clostridia; Peptostreptococcales; Peptostreptococcaceae.